This is a long non-coding RNA of Spinacia oleracea (spinach), 445 nucleotides long. RefSeq lists it as uncharacterized. Lineage: Eukaryota; Viridiplantae; Streptophyta; Magnoliopsida; Caryophyllales; Amaranthaceae. The transcript has 3 exons. The record is from RefSeq and is a predicted model, not a curated record.
UUUACAAUGUGUGCACAGAUUUGUCAUCGUCAAUUCACACACGAAAACACUGUGAUUCCUUUAACAGUUCGCCCAAACAAGGAGACAAAGAUUCCAUGAAUGACGACACCCCCCCUGUCAUUCAUGACCUAUAUUCAGAGUUAGAGUGAGACAACAUGUGGGAUUGAUACUGUUCCUUUUUCUGCAACUGUAAAUUCAGGCUCAAGAAAAGCUGAGUAAGCUUAGUGAUAUGCUUUAGUUCUCAAGUUAAGUCGGUGUUGCUGAUUGCUCUGCUAAAGUGCCUCAUUUCUACCUCAUUUCUACAGGCUAACUAUGCUCUGUUUUAGACUUUUAGUUUGAUUUUUUAUAUAAUUAGUCAUCAGAAAAAAUUGGUUAUUGUGGUUUUAUUGUUUAUGUCUUGGGCAUCAUGACAGAAUUGGUUAUUUUGGUUUUAUUGUUUAUAUAA